RNAcentral lists this ribosomal RNA (253 nucleotides) under uncultured bacterium. Its description in RNAcentral is "partial 16S ribosomal RNA". It matches the Rfam family "Bacterial small subunit ribosomal RNA", at positions 524 to 776 of the family's 1533-position model. The record is from RNAcentral.
AACGUAGGAGACGAACGUUAUCCGGAUUUACUGGGCGUAAAGAGCGCGCAGGCGGUCGUGCAAGUCGCGUGUGAAAGCCCCCGGCUCAACUGGGGAGGGUCACGCGAUACUGCUCGACUCGAAGGCAGGAGAGGGAAGUGGAAUUCCCGGUGUAGUGGUGAAAUGCGUAGAUAUCGGGAGGAACACCAGUGGCGAAGGCGACUUCCUGGCCUGUUCUUGACGCUGAGGCGCGAAAGCUAGGGUAGCAAACGGG